GUAGGCAACCUGCCUCUCAGACUGGGAUAACAUAGGGAAACUUAUGCUAAUACCGGAUAGGUUUUUGGAUCGCAUGAUCUGAAAAGAAAAGAUGGCUUUUCGCUAUCACUGGGAGAUGGGCCUGCGGCGCAUUAGCUAGUUGGUGGGGUAACGGCCUACCAAGGCGACGAUGCGUAGCCGACCUGAGAGGGUGACCGGCCACACUGGGACUGAGACACGGCCCAGACUCCUACGGGAGGCAGCAGUAGGGAAUUUUCCACAAUGGACGAAAG
RNAcentral lists this ribosomal RNA (272 nucleotides) under Brevibacillus agri. RNAcentral's name for it is "partial 16S ribosomal RNA". It matches the Rfam family "Bacterial small subunit ribosomal RNA", at positions 117 to 381 of the family's 1533-position model. The record is from RNAcentral. Lineage: Bacteria; Bacillati; Bacillota; Bacilli; Caryophanales; Paenibacillaceae.